This 74-nucleotide transfer RNA is filed under the name Actinomadura barringtoniae. It matches the Rfam family "tRNA". From Rfam's summary of the family: Transfer RNA (tRNA) molecules are approximately 80 nucleotides in length. The record is from Rfam by way of RNAcentral. Lineage: Bacteria; Bacillati; Actinomycetota; Actinomycetes; Streptosporangiales; Thermomonosporaceae.
GGGACCGUAGCUCAGCCGGUGAGAGCGCCUGUCUUAUAUGCAGGCGGUCGUGGGUUCAAGUCCCACCGGUCCCA